UUUUGUUGUAAGUGUUGUUGAACAGGAAAAAUAAAAACUCGAGGCCCCUGGUGGUAUUUUUAGUCCCGUAUCGGUGACUCGCUCAAAAGCCUCAGCAGGACUGUAAAAUAAAAUUAAUCUGCAUCUGCCGUGCGUCACUUUUACAAAGCUCCUCUCCUUCUGCUACUGCGGGGAUGGUUUGCAACCCUGGGCUUGGGAGAGCGCCAAGUACCUGCCAGGCAGCCCCAGAACAGCAGACAGCAGUGGGGAACCAGCAGGGACGGGGGUGAGGGGCGGGCAGAGGGAAGGAAAUUGGAUUCUCCUGGAGUUUGUGGGAAGCUGAGCCCGAUCCGCCUGCUCAGUGAUUUCACAGAACCUGUGCCUUGCCUCGUUGCUGAGGGAUCUAGGGGGAAGGCUUUGUGGGAUACACGAUCCAGCCUCGUGGCUCAUCCCGGAGCUGAAAGCUGCUGUGAUGCUCCCAGGAAUGAGGUAUUUCUGGUGGAGGAAAUGGUUUGCUGGCUGCACCAGGCUUUUCCUGAGGGGUUGGUAAUGUUUUCCAAGAGUUGGUGUGGGAUGGCUCUGCAGGAGAUGCUGGGUGAGGAACAGCCCAGAAAACAACCUCAGUCUCUCCAUCCAUCAUCCUGGAUGUAAACAUCCAUCUGAUUCCUCCCUGUGUGUCCUGGGAGCUGUGGUUUCCCUUUGCAGUCCCCAGGGGAGGUGUCUGCAGGGGAUGGGGAGCAGGGGGAAUGUGCAGGGCUCUCCAAAGGUCAGCGAUGAAGGACUGACAGAGCACGGACACUUCUCCCUCCUUGGUGAUGCUCAGGGUGGAAUCACGGGAUUGUUAAGGUUGGAAGAGGUCUCCAAACCCAUGGAGUCCAAGCAUUAACCCAGCACUGCCUGCUCACCACUCACCCAUGUCCCUCAGCACAUUUUUGGAGCUCUUGCAGAGAUGGUGAUUCCCAUGCCUGACAACACUUUCCAUGAAGAAAUUGUUCCUAGUAUUGAAAUAAACUUUCCCUGGUGCAACUUGGAGCCUUUUCC
RNAcentral lists this long non-coding RNA (1020 nucleotides) under Cyanistes caeruleus (blue tit). RNAcentral describes it as "lncRNA (ENSCCEG00000011071.1)". The record is from RNAcentral. Lineage: Eukaryota; Metazoa; Chordata; Aves; Passeriformes; Paridae.